Molecule: ribosomal RNA, 497 nt
Filed under: uncultured bacterium
Lineage: Bacteria
Description: partial 16S ribosomal RNA
Rfam family: Bacterial small subunit ribosomal RNA
Source: RNAcentral
GACGAACGCUGGCGGCGUGCCUAAUACAUGCAAGUCGAGCGAACAGACGAGGAGCUUGCUCCUCUGACGUUAGAGGCGGACGGGUGAGUAACAUGUGGAUAACCUACCUAUAAGACUGGGAUAACUUCGGGAAACCGGAGCUAAUACCGGAUAAUAUAUCGAAUCGCAUGGUUCAAUAGUGAAAGACGGUUUUGCUGUCACUUAUAGACGGAUACGCGCCGCAUUAGCUAGUUGGUAAGGUAACGGAUUACCAAGGCAACGAGGCGUAGCCGACCUGAAAGGGUCGUCCGACAGACGGUAUCUGAGACACGGUCCAGACUCCGACAGGAAGCAGCGGUAGGGAAUCUUCCGCAAGGGACGAGUGCGUGACGGUGCAACGCCGCGUAAAGGAUGAUGCACUACGGAUCGGAGAACUCUGUUAGUAGGAGGGAUCUAAUGUGUAAUUAACUAUGCACAUCUUGACAGUACCGGGUCAGAAAGCCACGGCUAACUACGUG